GGGCCCGCACAAGCGGUGGAGCAUGUGGUUUAAUUCGAUGAUACGCGAGGAACCUUACCAGGGCUUAAAUGGGAAAUGACAGGGCAGAGACGCCCCCUUCUUCGGACAUUUUGCAAGGUGCUGCAUGGUUGUCGUCAGCUCGUGCCGUGAGGUGUCAGGUUAAGUCCUAUAACGAGCGCAACCCCUAUUCUUAGUUGCCAGCGGGUAAUGCCGGGAACUCUAAGGAGACUGCCAGCGCAAGCUGCGAGGAAGGUGGGGAUGACGUCAAAUCAUCACGGCCCUUACGUCCUGGCUACACACGUGCUACAAUGGAUGGUACAAUGAGAUGCAACUCUGCGAAGACAAGCU
Molecule: ribosomal RNA, 348 nt
Filed under: uncultured bacterium
Lineage: Bacteria
Description: bacterial SSU rRNA
Rfam family: Bacterial small subunit ribosomal RNA
Source: RNAcentral